Molecule: long non-coding RNA, 2581 nt
Organism: Oncorhynchus keta (chum salmon)
Lineage: Eukaryota; Metazoa; Chordata; Actinopteri; Salmoniformes; Salmonidae
Exons: 6
Source: RefSeq, a predicted model, not a curated record
UUGAGAAAAAAUCUGAUUAACUAAACUUUAUUUUCAUUAAAUGUCUGCUUUCUCAGAACUACCAAAAAUACAUUUGACACAAAUGUACCCAAGAUUCAAACUUGCAGUAGAAAAUGAUAUACAAGAGAACAUUCAGUUAUUUUGCUCAACAUUUAAACACGGGUCACAUAAUUAAAAGCUCCUCACUCUGCAACCCUGCCUUAUAUUUCAUGUUCACAUAAUCACCUCCUCUUCCUACAGGGUUUUAAAGGUUUAUUGGAAACAGACAGGGUCAUUUCUCAUAUUGUGUGUGUGCCUCCACUGGCGUUUCCAGCACCUCUUCCUAACAGCCUCAUUAACCUCUAAAUGCCGGUCCAACUUCAAAAGCACCGUCACCUCUCACAAGUCCUUGGUUACACCCCUCACACACACACACACCUCAGAUUGCUCUGUCACACCAAACUCAAUGGAACAGGAUCAGCUUAGUGAAAGACCCCUAGGAUAGAUCUCUCCUAAAGGCAUUUCUAAUAGUCAAACUAGUUAUCAUGAGUUCAAAUAAAAAAUGUAUUUAUAUAGAUAAGCAUGUAAAGGGGCUUGUCAAUCUCAGAAUGUGUGUCUGCAUGUGCUUGUGUGUGUGUGAGAGGCGGAGCAGCAGUUUUUCUCCACGACGCCUGCUCCCCAUUGGCACGUCACGUGUUCCCACGCCGGUGAUGCCACACGUGUGAAACAAAAGUUUACUGACUGACUGGGAGGGAGAGACACACAGCAACAACACCUUUGUGUUCUGAGAGGAGCAGCAGAGACUGGAGGUCUGUGGGACUGGGUCGUGUUCUGAGAGGAGCAGCAGAGACUGGAGGUCUGUGGGACUGGGUCGUGUUCUGAGAGGAGCAGCAGAGACUGGAGGUCUGUGGGACUGGGUCGUGUUCUGAGAGGAGCAGCAGAGACUGGAGGUCUGUGGGACUGGGUCGUGUUCUGAGAGGAGCAGCAGAGACUGGAGGUCUGUGGGACUGGGUCGUGUUCUGAGAGGAGCAGCAGAGACUGGAGGUCUGUGGGACUGGGUCGUGUUCUGAGAGGAGCAGCAGAGACUGGAGGUCUGUGGGACUGGGUCGUGUUCUGAGAGGAGCAGCAGAGACUGGAGGUCUGUGGGACUGGGUCGUGUUCUGAGAGGAGCAGCAGAGACUGGAGGUCUGUGGGACUGGGUCGUGUUCUGAGAGGAGCAGCAGAGACUGUGGAUCUGUGGGACUGGGUCGUGUUCUGAGAGGAGCAGCAGAGACUGGAGGUCUGUGGGACUGGGUCGUGUUCUGAGAGGAGCAGCAGAGACUGGAGGUCUGUGGGACUGGGUCGUGUUCUGAGAGGAGCAGCAGAGACUGGAGGUCUGUGGGACUGGGUCGUGUUCUGAGAGGAGCAGCAGAGACUGGAGGUCUGUGGGACUGGGUCGUGUUCUGAGAGGAGCAGCAGAGACUGGAGGUCUGUGGGACUGGGUCGUGUUCUGAGAGGACGUACUGAACACAUCACUACUGGUGUGUGUGUUCAUGCACUUUUGUGUGUGUGUAUGUCAGAGAGGGUGUGUGUGUCUCCUAUGUCUCACCUCUACAGACACUGAAAAGUAGACCGCCUGUCUGUGGGGCCAGACUGCAGGCCUGCCUACUUAUAUCAAAGCACCAGGAGCCUUUGAAGGAGCUGAUGGGAAUCUGUAAGACAAGGAGAAGAGGUCUGACUGGCUGGCUGUUAUACACCACACAGGGUGGGACACUGGUGGACAACAGGAGCCAAACAGGUUAAUAAUCAUUACAUCACAGAUAAACUAACAUGAACAAACAGGCCGUGAAUAGCAGAUUCACUGAUAUAAAACUUCAAUCAGAGGGUUUAUAUCAGCAAUGUUUAAGUGUCCUUCAGCUGAUUGUUCUGAUGAUACUGUACAUGUAUUGAAUUAAGAUAAAAGGCACCUCUGUAUGUGUGGUAUUUGGACAUGUGUUACAAUAUUUUAUCAAUUCCCCUUUCCAUUUUGGGCUGAAGUAUAAAUGCUGCCAGUUAGACUGCUUCCUGUCCUCUGUCUCUCCUAAUCCCGCACUGGGCACAGAUCUUGGAUCACCUUAACCUCCACAAAUCCUAACCAUAACCAUUUGGGGGUUAAAGUGCUAAACUGCUUAGAUCAGUGUCUAGUAGGGACAACUUCUGUUUGUGUAUGUCUGUCUGCACGUGUGCAUGCAUGCAUGUGUCGUCCACGACAGUGCCUGUGUGUGUGCAUGCCUGUGUGUAUGUGCGUUUCUGUGUGUAUGUGCGUGCCUGUGUGUGUGCGUGCACCCCUGCAUGCUCGUGUGUGUGUCCUGAGAGGGCAAGGAGAGUGUCUGUGUCCAUAACAGAACAGCAAAAAGGGCCAAACAGGACCAUUAGAGAUGAACCCCUUGGGUUGUACCGUGGCGGAGAUCUUUGUGGGCUAUACUCGGCCUUGUCUCAGGAUGGACCUGAGCCCUAGGACCAUGCCCCAGGACUACCUGACAUGAUGACUCCUUGCUGUCCCCAGUCCACCUGGCCAUGCUGCUGCUCCAGUUUCAACUGGCCUGGGCCCUAGGACCAUGUCCCAGGACUACCUGACAUGAUG